GACACGCUCGGCGUUUCCCUGGCAGCGCGGCGCCAUCGGCCGCUGUUGUCCCUAAGCACCGCCGGUGAUGCGUCGCUGCCCCCGACCGGUGGAACUCUUCAGGCUGCAGAGACUUUCUAUUCUGAAGACCAAAGCCUGAAGGUCACUCAGAAGUCUGGAAUUUGAGGCCUGAUGACCGGAGUGCUGAGUCUCUGAGCCCACUGAGAAAGUUGAAGCUGAAUGUUGGUGAAUCUGCAAGACCACUGGAGGCUGGAGAUGCUGCCUGGCUUGCCGAGUUCUUCCAGCAUUUUGUGCGUGUUGUUUGGAAUUGAGGGUUGAUGAGGUUAUUUACGCAGGAAGAAACUAUACAAACAUAGUGCAUAGGACAAUAUGAAGAAAGUAUUCAACUUACUUCUUCUGUCAUGGUAUUUCAAUAUUAUUCAACAUUUUCCAACUUACGAAAGAAAAUUGAAAUAAAACCCAUUAUAGGAAAUGAAGUGUCGAAUUGACAUUCAGUUAUUCAGCAUGUUAAUAUAUGUUAUAAUAAGUUUUGACUGAACAUAAUUUUGGUAAACUGCAAUGAAAUAUUAUUUGUCAGUGCUCAUUUUUCAGCACCAUAAGUUAAUAGUACCCUUCUGUGGAUCAUUCAGGAUCCAUGACGUUCCUAAUUACCACUUCUGGCACAAAUUUCUUACAGGCAUAACACAACAACUAAAACAAAUAAAAAAACAAGUACUGCUUUGUGUAUGUGUAUCAAAAGAAAUGCAGUGAAAUACUAUUGACCUAUAAAAUCCUCAUUGAAAAAUUUGAAAUCAAGUAUGUAAUUGCAAAGUUUUUUAUACAGUGGAAAGAAUUUGAUUGUUCAUUAUGUUUCUCUCUGGCUUUUGGUUCUACAAAAUAAGUUCAUUCACAUUGAAAGUCUAAUGAUACUGUAGUACUUCCGAUGUUUUCCUCAGUGGCAGUUGAUUCCUGUCCACCAGGGGGUGUGCAACAGCAGGGUGAGUUGCCCUAUGAUACCAUUCUCAAUUCGGAAGCAUCAUCAGUUACAGGCAAACCCGAGAGAUAUUGUGAAAGUACAUCUGCUUCAUUAAUUUAGGGAACCAUUAGGAAUCUUUUCGGGAAGGAAAUCUGCUAUCCUUACCAGGAUGGCCUAUAUAUGACUAGACAAAUAAGUAUUACUGACUGCUCUCUGAAGUGGUCAAGCAAGAUACUAAAUUCAGGCACAAAUAGAAAUAGGCAACAAGUGCUUAUUUUGCCUGCACCACCCACAUCCUUUGAAUGCAUAAAAAGGUACAAGUAAAAAAGGAUAGGAACUGAAGGUUCUAAAAGUGAGUCAUUAAUCUUUUUGUUAUCUUCACAAAUGGAACAAAAUGUUGUGUUAAAAUGUAAUAUGUACUUUGCAAUGUAGACAAAAAUAUGUCCUGCUAAUUGAAUAUCUUUGCUGGAACUGAAAUAUUGAAAUACAUAAUUCAUUCAUAGAAUGCAAAUAACUGCCUAAAUGAUCCUUUUUCAUGGAAGCAAUAAUGUUGGCUAAAUUACAGGGAAAAUUAUCUUCAAACAUGCCAAGAGGA
Molecule: long non-coding RNA, 1550 nt
Organism: Mobula hypostoma (lesser devil ray)
Lineage: Eukaryota; Metazoa; Chordata; Chondrichthyes; Myliobatiformes; Myliobatidae
Exons: 4
Source: RefSeq, a predicted model, not a curated record